RNAcentral lists this ribosomal RNA (301 nucleotides) under uncultured bacterium. RNAcentral's name for it is "partial 16S ribosomal RNA". It matches the Rfam family "Bacterial small subunit ribosomal RNA", at positions 509 to 809 of the family's 1533-position model. The record is from RNAcentral.
CAGCCGCCGCGGGAAUACAGAGGGUGCGAGCGUUAAUCGGAUUUACUGGGCGUAAAGCGUGCGUAGGCGGCUUCUUAAGUCGGAUGUGAAAUCCCUGAGCUUAACUUAGGAAUUGCAUUCGAUACUGGGAAGCUAGAGUAUGGGAGAGGAUGGUAGAAUUCCAGGUGUAGCGGUGAAAUGCGUAGAGAUCUGGAGGAAUACCGAUGGCGAAGGCAGCCAUCUGGCCUAAUACUGACGCUGAGGUACGAAAGCAUGGGGAGCAAACAGGAUUAGAUACCCCCGUAGUCCCUGUCUCUUAUAU